UCAAGGCUGCUCUCUAUCAAUACCUCGACAUUGGUGGAUGGACGAAACGCAGAAAUUGAUCGGCACGACGAUGGCGCAAAUUGAUCCUACCUCUGUUCGCUAAGGCACAGCUUCUUUCCCACACGUACACACCGUGUAUGCAUUCUACAACCACGGAUAGAAUCCGUGUCUCGCGCUCCCUUUCGUGUGGCGCGUUGUCCUCGGGACCGGAGUUCACAACGCUCGCGACCCAUAUAUGGUCACUCGCUGUAUAAUUCAUCGGCACAGACACAAGUACGAGCAGGUUGAAAGUGCUCGGAUGUUUCCAAGACGAAAGACCAGGAACCCAAAAUAGUCGAGUCCAAGACGCCUAUCCCAUCGAGCGGGUUCGGAAUACGAAACGCACUAUAAAGUGAACCCGUUCUUUUAAUUAUCCCAAGCCGAUGGCAGCCUCGAGGAGGCUGAAGAACCUCGGCGUCCGAAGACAAGGGCGAUGGGAGAAGGGUGAGAACAUUCAGGCGUGAAGCGAUGGACCGUAUCGAUUAAUUUUCGUAGACCACAGGUAAUUGAGCGAACAGCCAGCCUUACGUCCAGGUUUCCUCGUCUUCGAAGGGACCCCAGAUCUAACCAUAACUCCGCCUCAUCCUCACCAACAAUGAGGUCUCCAAGGAUCGGGCAGGUCCUUGCACCUACGGCGACUUCGAUUCUUGUUUGAAACGAUUCGUUGGAAAGUUUGACCACGGGUAAGUAUACAUAAUAUGAGACAUCUUUGAUCGGUGCGCCUUAGGGAUCCGGCUUUCCGGAAGAGUUUUUCCAUUAAUCACGGUCGUUUUAAUCGAUUUCGACUGAAACGCGAGUGAAAUUACCGCCUGCGGUAAGCAGCGCGUCCAACAACCCCGUGGGAAUGCUAUGCCCGAUUCACCCGGCUCUUCAUCGCGUCCGGUAAUUCAGGAGUAAUGUUGGCAAGCAAACGUCAUGUACCUACAACGUAAUUUAUACAAGAAGUUCGCAGUACACUGAAAUUGGUUGAGGAAACACUUUGUUGGGCUUUGUUGGGACGAAUGAUUAAAGGUCCACAGUCAAACCUAAACUUUACCAAUAAAACGAACUUUCUUUCACAAAAUACUAGCUAUGCACUUAAUUCAACGUUCAACAAAUCGACCGAUUACUUAGCAAAGUGUUUGGCAACAGUUUUUCACAAAAGCUUGCAGGAUCCCGUUCUAAAUAUAAAAAAUAUCCAAAUUCAUAUGAAAGCACAACGGUUCAUUACGCAGCUACGCUUGUCUGCAACGAACAGUGGAAGGUUAAUUACUUACGGUUCUCGUUUAGUCGGACAACUUCUGCGCCCC
Neodiprion fabricii is the source of this 1328-nucleotide long non-coding RNA. RefSeq lists it as uncharacterized. The record is from RefSeq and is a predicted model, not a curated record. NCBI's taxonomy places the organism in Eukaryota, Metazoa, Arthropoda, Insecta, Hymenoptera, Diprionidae. The transcript is spliced from 3 exons.